CCUACGGGGGGCAGCAGUGGGGAAUAUUGGACAAUGGGCGAAAGCCUGAUCCAGCCAUGCCGCGUGUGUGAAGAAGGCCUUCGGGUUGUAAAGCACUUUCAGUGGGGAAGAAAGCCUUGGGGCUAAUACCCUCGAGGAAGGACAUCACCCACAGAAGAAGCACCGGCUAACUCCGUGCCAGCAGCCGCGGUAAUACGGAGGGUGCGAGCGUUAAUCGGAAUUACUGGGCGUAAAGCGCGCGUAGGCGGUCUGAUAAGCCGGUUGUGAAAGCCCCGGGCUCAACCUGGGAACGGCAUCCGGAACUGUCAGGCUAGAGUGCAGGAGAGGAAGGUAGAAUUCCCGGUGUAGCGGUGAAAUGCGUAGAGAUCGGGAGGAAUACCAGUGGCGAAGGCGGCCUUCUGGAUUGACACUGACGCUGAGGUGCGAAAGCGUGGGUAGCAAACAGGAUUAGAUACCCGGGUAGUC
Molecule: ribosomal RNA, 465 nt
Filed under: Vreelandella stevensii
Lineage: Bacteria; Pseudomonadati; Pseudomonadota; Gammaproteobacteria; Oceanospirillales; Halomonadaceae
Description: partial 16S ribosomal RNA
Rfam family: Bacterial small subunit ribosomal RNA
Source: RNAcentral